Molecule: long non-coding RNA, 524 nt
Filed under: Ananas comosus (pineapple)
Lineage: Eukaryota; Viridiplantae; Streptophyta; Magnoliopsida; Poales; Bromeliaceae
Description: long non-coding RNA (ACOM_LNC041600)
Source: RNAcentral
GGAAAACUCUGUCCGUUCGGCGUCUAUUUGACGUGCUCGGGCCAGACCAAAUUGGUAUCGGUCCCGGGGCGUGACAACUCGACUCGGUCUUGAGUCAAUUCAUAAUGUAUACAAGAUCCACUUUCCAAUUCAUGAUUCUUUUUGGCUAACCCGUAGGUUUCGCCACAUUAACUUGCUUCACAUUAAGUUCAUCAUCGCAGGAACUCACCUGCUAGGACCGUCCUUGGGUUUACUUCAACCCGUGAUGCAAAACUCUGGAGCGCAUCGCUCGAGGGGGAGCGACCGCCCUCGAGCACGGAACUCAUAGCAAGUAUGAUCAAUCCUUAACUCUAAGGAUAUGUAGUUGGAUCAUGGUUUUACACUAACUCUAGUAUUCUUUACAUCACAUUAGUUGCUAACUCUAGCAAUCAUUAUUCUUUAUACCACAAUUAUCAAUUACUUUAGUAAUUAUCAUUCUUGAUACCACACUUGUUCUUUUAUUGCCACACACUAACUCUAGUGUUCUUUAUGUCACAUUGGUUGCC